GACGAACGCUGGCGGCGUGCUUAACACAUGCAAGUCGAACGGAAAGGCCCUGCUUUUGUGGGGUGCUCGAGUGGCGAACGGGUGAGUAACACGUGAGUAACCUGCCCUUGACUUUGGGAUAACUUCAGGAAACUGGGGCUAAUACCGGAUAGGAGCUCCUGCUGCAUGGGGGGGGUUGGAAAGUUUCGGCGGUUGGGGAUGGACUCGCGGCUUAUCAGCUUGUUGGUGGGGUAGUGGCUUACCAAGGCUUUGAAGGGUAGCCGGCCUGAGAGGGUGACCGGCCACAUUGGGCCUGAGAUACGGCCCAGACUCCUACGGGAGGCAGCAGUGGGGAAUAUUGCACAAUGGGCGGAAGCCUGAUGCAGCAACGCCGCGUGCGGGAUGACGGCCUUCGGGUUGUAAACCGCUUUCGCCUGUGACGAAGCGUGAGUGACGGUAAUGGGUAAAGAAGCACCGGCUAACUACGUG
Molecule: ribosomal RNA, 468 nt
Filed under: uncultured bacterium
Lineage: Bacteria
Description: partial 16S ribosomal RNA
Rfam family: Bacterial small subunit ribosomal RNA
Source: RNAcentral